ACGAACGCUGGCGGCGUGCCUAACACAUGCAAGUCGAGCGAGAAAGGGUUCCUUCGGGGACCGAGUAAAGCGGCGCACGGGUGAGUAACACGUAGGUAAUCUACCCCUAGUCUGGAACAACUAGAGGAAACUCUAGCUAAUGCCGGAUGAGACCACGGUUUCUUCGGAGACUGCGACCAAAGAUGGCCUCUGCUUGCAAGCUAUCGCUGAGGGAUGAGCCUGCGGGCAUUAGCUAGUUGGUGAGGUAACGGCUCACCAAGGCAGUGAUGACUAGCUGGUCUGAGAGGAUGACCAGCCACACUGGGACUGAGACACGGCCCAGACUCCUACGGGAGGCAGCAGUGGGGAAGUAUUGCGCAAGUGGGCGAAAGCCUGACGCAGCGACGCCGCGUGGGUGA
Molecule: ribosomal RNA, 398 nt
Filed under: uncultured bacterium
Lineage: Bacteria
Description: bacterial SSU rRNA
Rfam family: Bacterial small subunit ribosomal RNA
Source: RNAcentral